RNAcentral lists this ribosomal RNA (98 nucleotides) under Haemophilus haemolyticus. RNAcentral describes it as "partial 16S ribosomal RNA". It matches the Rfam family "Bacterial small subunit ribosomal RNA", at positions 1443 to 1533 of the family's 1533-position model. Lineage: Bacteria; Pseudomonadati; Pseudomonadota; Gammaproteobacteria; Pasteurellales; Pasteurellaceae. The record is from RNAcentral.
UUGGAGGGCGUUUACCACGGUAUGAUUCAUGACUGGGGUGAAGUCGUAACAAGGUAACCGUAGGGGAACCUGCGGUUGGAUCACCUCCUUACCAAAGA